UAAAGGGUAGUAUAGUUAUGUACGUAAAGCUGUUAACUUUAAGGCAUGGGGUUACUUUCUCAUUCCUUUAC
Molecule: transfer RNA, 71 nt
Filed under: Eurylepta cornuta
Lineage: Eukaryota; Metazoa; Platyhelminthes; Polycladida; Euryleptidae
Description: tRNA-Asn
Source: RNAcentral